Molecule: RNA transcript, 2376 nt
Organism: Zingiber officinale
Lineage: Eukaryota; Viridiplantae; Streptophyta; Magnoliopsida; Zingiberales; Zingiberaceae
Gene name: serine/threonine-protein kinase PRP4 homolog
Exons: 6
Source: RefSeq, a predicted model, not a curated record
UCCGUGUUCGGUAAUCCAUACGAUUCCGACCAGCGAUCUCCUAGAUGGAAUAGUGGUGGCCGUUAGAUGUUAGGUGACCUAAAGUUCUAUAGGCGAUGGUGGUGACUGGAUCGCCAAUGAUGUUAAUUUUACACCGUUCCGCUCUCCCUCUUGUGAAGCAGCGGCUUUUGGCAUUCGGAGUCGAGGUAUUUGGAAAAAUCCUCAAAGCAAUCUCAACCACCCUCGGACGAUCGAUCAAGGUACACUUAACAGGAAGGAUGGAUGUGGAUUCUCUUGAUGUUGAGAAUGGGACCUCAUUCAAGUCAGAGUUGGAUGAUAACUCAUAUGGAAAUAAGGAUGAACAGAAGGAAAAAAGUUUAAAAGAAGCCAAGGAGGAAGAAGAGAUGCAAGAUUUUGCAGAUCAGGAGAAGCUUAGAUCAGCUGCACUUCCUGUUGCUGUUGUUAGUGAAGGAUUGCAAUCACCAACCACCAUACCAAGCUCUGGAAUUUCAUUGUCGCUCAUAGACAAAAAUGAAGAGACAGGUCAGCAUUUGCCAUUUGAGUCUGAUAACCAUUCACAGGUUAAGUCCGAUUCUAAUGAUAAUGUUGAAAAGAGUAGUCAUAGCUUUGAGGAACCAGCCUCAAAUGUUGGGCAUCAGGAAUGCCAUGAUGAGGAACAAGGAACUAGUGGUAACAAUCUUUCUGGUGAUCUUCACGGUGUUAGUGCUGAUCAAAUAGUGAAAAAUGAAAGGCCAUUAGUAGACUCAUCUCUUUUGUCUAUUGAGAAUGAUUUCAACUCUCAAUCUGAAAAGUCUGAGUUUGAUAAUGAUGUAAACAAAGGUGGAAAUGUUAGUCACAAUAUGGAAGAGAGGGAAGAUGAUCAUAUAGUUGGUGUUGCAAAUUUGGAUGACAGAGAACCUCUUAAAGAUAGUUUUGUGGAGCAAUCUUUGCCAACUGAUAGAAGUCCAAAACCACCUACAUUGGAGAGAGAAUUAUCUGUUCAUACAGAAAAAUCUCCUGACCCCAACCAUUCAGCAGCAGGAGAGCAGCUACUGAAUGGGAUCAGUGAGGAAAAAUUAGCCCGUUCGCCCAAACAUACACCUCUUGAAAAGCAUUCUGUGAAACGAAAGAGAGAUUCUCAAGAGAGUUUGUCUCCUCCAAGUAUUAAAUCUCCUCGAGGCAGGGCAACACAUAAAGAAACUCAUCACAGAGAUUCUUCUCUGAGAAAAAAGGCAUCAGCUUCACCUCGAAGCCGGGAAUCUCCACGGAGGAAAGAGAGAUCAACAUCUCGAUCACCUGUAAGGCGGAAAGAUACUUCUGGAUCUGGACAUAAAAGAGAUCGCCGUGGUAGAUCUCGGUCCAGAUCUCCCUAUGCAAGGGAUCAGCAUAGAAGGUCUCCAAGUAGGAGAAGGCAUUCUCCAAGGUACAGAUCUCCACCAAGUUAUCAUUCUCGUCAUCGGUCAUCUAGAAGGCCAUGGUCACCACCAACUAACCGCAACACUGGAGUGGGUAAGCCUGGGCGGAAUUUGUUUGUUGCUGGUUUUAGCUAUGUUACCACUGAAAGAGAUUUGGAGAAGAAAUUUUCUAGGUUUGGACGUGUAACAGAUGUUCGCAUUGUUCGUGAUAACAGAUCAGGGGAUUCUCGUGGCUUUGGGUUUUUAUCCUUAGAAAGGGAUGAAGAUGCUGAUGCUGCGAUACGUGCUCUUGAUCAAUCUGAGUGGAAUGGGAGGAUUGUCCUGGUGGAGAAGUCUAAAACUGGGGCUCGCUGAAUGAUUUCUUUGCAUUACUACCAUAGUCAAGAAUGAUAGAAGAGCCUUCAGUUUUGCCAGCUUAUUUUGGACCAGUAUUGGUUCCAACCAUAAUGGCACUGAUCAUGCUACGCGGGUUUAAUGAUCAUUCAUCGGAUAGAAACCAUAGGUGUGCCUUCACUUUCUGGAAAAAAGUUCAACUUUCAAAGUACCACCUAUUGCAAACGUCUGAGGCCUGAACCUACUAUUUCGAAGAUUAUUUCUCUCGUCUUUUGCUAUUUUCUGACACGGACGAAGCGACGAUUUCACCUACCAAUAACACUCAGAUACUCCAGAAUCUACGAUCCCUCGAGCCGUUUCGCAAAACAAGCUACCAGAUUCCUUCCCGCGACCGAAUUCACACCGUGACGGUCUCUCCCCCAGCCAAAUCACGCUCCUAUCCUGACCUGGCGCACGUAAUGCCGACACGCGUGACUCCGACGACCAGGUCGUCGGUCUGAUCCUUCCCUUUCUGGAGCAGUUUUGGGUCUGUUCCAAUGGCGCCGCCGCCCGCCCUCUCUUAUCUUCUCCUCCCCCUGCCAUUUCUUCGCCUAUAAAUUCACCUCUCUUGUUUUUUCCCAUCGUUCUUAUCCCUUCAAUUACUACUUCU